Molecule: ribosomal RNA, 397 nt
Filed under: uncultured bacterium
Lineage: Bacteria
Description: partial 16S ribosomal RNA
Rfam family: Bacterial small subunit ribosomal RNA
Source: RNAcentral
AUACGAAGGGUGCAAGCGUUACUCGGAAUUACUGGGCGUAAAGCGUGCGUAGGUGGUUGUUUAAGUCUGUCGUGAAAGCCCUGGGCUCAACCUGGGAAUGGCGAUGGAAACUGGGCGACUAGAGUGUGGCAGAGGGUAGUGGAAUUCCUGGUGUAGCAGUGAAAUGCGUAGAGAUCAGGAGGAACAUCCGUGGCGAAGGCGACUGCCUGGGCCAACGCUGACACUGAGGCACGAAAGCGUGGGGAGCAAACAGGAUUAGAUACCCUGGUAGUCCACGCCCUAAACGAUGCGAACUGGAUGUUGGGUGCAAUUUGGCACGCAGUAUCGAAGCUAACGCGUUAAGUUCGCCGCCUGGGGAGUACGGUCGCAAGACUGAAACUCAAAGGAAUUGACGGGG